This 75-nucleotide transfer RNA is filed under the name Pseudoalteromonas rubra. RNAcentral describes it as "tRNA-Arg". It matches the Rfam family "tRNA". From Rfam's summary of the family: Transfer RNA (tRNA) molecules are approximately 80 nucleotides in length. Their secondary structure includes four short double-helical elements and three loops (D, anti-codon, and T loops). Further hydrogen bonds mediate the characteristic L-shaped molecular structure. tRNAs have two regions of fundamental functional importance: the anti-codon, which is responsible for specific mRNA codon recognition, and the 3' end, to which the tRNAs corresponding amino acid is attached (by aminoacyl-tRNA synthetases). tRNAs cope with the degeneracy of the genetic code in two manners: having more than one tRNA (with a specific anti-codon) for a particular amino acid; and 'wobble' base-pairing, i.e. permitting non-standard base-pairing at the 3rd anti-codon position. The record is from RNAcentral. RNAcentral also lists the same sequence under 7 other names. Lineage: Bacteria; Pseudomonadati; Pseudomonadota; Gammaproteobacteria; Alteromonadales; Pseudoalteromonadaceae.
GGCCCCUUAGUUAAAUGGAUAUAACAGUCCCCUCCUAAGGGAUAGUUGCAGGUUCGAUUCCUGCAGGGGCCGCCA